AUUGAACGCUGGCGGCAUGCUUUACACAUGCAAGUCGAACGGCAGCGCGGGCUUCGGCCUGGCGGCGAGUGGCGAACGGGUGGGUAAUACAUCGGAACGUGCCCAGUAGUGGGGGAUAGCUCGGCGAAAGCCGGAUUAAUACCGCAUACGACCUGAGGGUGAAAGCGGGGGAUCUUUGGACCUCGCGCUAUUGGAGCGGCCGAUGGCCGAUUAGCUAGUUGGUGGGGUAAAGGCCUACCAAGGAGACGAUCUGUAGCUGGUCUGAGAGGACAACCAGCCACACUGGAACUGAGACACGGCCCAGACUCCUACGGGAGGCAGCAGUGGGGAAUUUUGGACAAUGGGCGAAAGCCUGAUCCAGCAAUGCCGCGUGUGUUAUGAAGGCCUUCGGGUUGUAAAGCACUUUUGGCGGGAACGAAAAGGACUGUGCCAAUACCACGGUUCGAUGACGGUACCCGCAGAAUAAGCACCGGCUAACUACGUG
Molecule: ribosomal RNA, 484 nt
Filed under: uncultured bacterium
Lineage: Bacteria
Description: partial 16S ribosomal RNA
Rfam family: Bacterial small subunit ribosomal RNA
Source: RNAcentral